GGGCCUACGGGGAGCAGCAGUGGGGAAUAUUGCACAAUGGGGGAAACCCUGAUGCAGCGACGCCGCGUGAGUGAAGAAGUAUUUCGGUAUGUAAAGCUCUAUCAGCAGGGAAGAAAAAAGACGGUACCUGACUAAGAAGCCCCGGCCAACUACGUGCCAGCAGCCGCGGUAAUACGUAGGGGGCAAGCGUUAUCCGGAUUUACUGGGUGUAAAGGGAGCGUAGACGGCAGCGCAAGUCUGGAGUGAAAUGCCGGGGCUCAACCCCGGAACUGCUUUGGAAACUGUGCAGCUAGAGUGCGGGAGAG
RNAcentral lists this ribosomal RNA (305 nucleotides) under uncultured bacterium. RNAcentral describes it as "bacterial SSU rRNA". It matches the Rfam family "Bacterial small subunit ribosomal RNA", at positions 335 to 656 of the family's 1533-position model. The record is from RNAcentral.